AUAAGCUGAAGGCAGACUGUGCAAAGCCUUGUAGGUACAAUAAGAACUUUGAACUUCACCUACUAGCAAUAGGUGGCCAGGGAAAGGUUUAACACUGAGUAGUCACAUGGCCAAAUUUGUAUUUUAAAACAUCAUUCUGGCUGCUGAGAAGAUAAUAGACAAGGCAGUGGCAAUUGCUGUGGCCCAGCUGAGAGUAGGACUUUCACCUUAGCUUAGCUUGGACUAAGCCUUCCCUUCCAGUGUUCCAUUUGUUGAGAUAUGGAUUGCUGGAAGAGAGGGCUUUUGGGGGUGAAAUCCAGUUUUGAAUGACUAAGGUGUCAGAUGCCUGCAUGAAAUCAGUCAAAUAGAUAGCUGGGGUAUAUAGGUCAGGCUCAAAACGGAGGUCUGAAUUGUGGGGACAGAGUUAGAAAGCAAUACCUAGAGAGGGCUGCCUGAUCCAGGGAGG
Molecule: long non-coding RNA, 445 nt
Filed under: Homo sapiens (human)
Lineage: Eukaryota; Metazoa; Chordata; Mammalia; Primates; Hominidae
Description: HSALNT0361219
Source: RNAcentral